This 217-nucleotide ribosomal RNA is filed under the name uncultured bacterium. Its description in RNAcentral is "partial 16S ribosomal RNA". It matches the Rfam family "Bacterial small subunit ribosomal RNA", at positions 1284 to 1500 of the family's 1533-position model. The record is from RNAcentral.
GGUCUCAGUUCGGACUGUAGGCUGCAACUCGCCUACACGAAGUUGGAAUUGCUAGUAAUCGUGGAUCAGCAUGCCACGGUGAAUACGUUCCCGGGUCUUGUACACACCGCCCGUCACACCAUGGGAGUCAGUAACGCCCGAAGCCGGUGACCCAACCAAGCGGAGGGAGCCGUCGAAGGUGGGACCGAUAACUGGGGUGAAGUCGUAACAAGGUACC